Molecule: non-coding RNA, 424 nt
Organism: Lactuca sativa (garden lettuce)
Lineage: Eukaryota; Viridiplantae; Streptophyta; Magnoliopsida; Asterales; Asteraceae
Source: RefSeq, a predicted model, not a curated record
CGGAUCUCUCCUCUCUCUCCUCUUCCCAACACAUAAUCAAUUCACUCUACCACUCCAUCUUCUCUCUCUCACUCUACCCCUCAUUCUCUCUCACACUCCACCAUUUACCACACUCAAACUCUCUCUUUCCCUCUCUAAAACCACGAAAUUCUCCAGCCAAGAACAACUCUUAACCUUCAAAUCUUAAUCUUCUAGGGUUCUUCUCCAUGGAAUCGGUAGUGGUACACGUGGAACAUAGUCAAGACACCAUUUGCAUCAUCUCAAUGUAUUGAAUCAUCGAGUAAGUGGCACUUAGGGACAGUUCACUUUAGGAGGAUUCGCAUGUGUUUUAUUUCAAUUUACAUUGUAAUUUCUUUUAAAAGUUGUUAAAACCCACUGUAAAAUUGUAAUGAUUUAUAAUACUAUGAUUGGUGUUGUCUUUUAA